This 183-nucleotide non-coding RNA is filed under the name Methylophaga sp. Its description in RNAcentral is "6S RNA". It matches the Rfam family "6S / SsrS RNA". From Rfam's summary of the family: E. coli 6S RNA was the first non coding RNA to be sequenced, but its function was unknown until recently. It consists of 184 nucleotides that fold into an extended hairpin structure with a large single-stranded internal bulge. Lineage: Bacteria; Pseudomonadati; Pseudomonadota; Gammaproteobacteria; Thiotrichales; Piscirickettsiaceae. The record is from RNAcentral.
CAGUCCCUGCGGUGUUCGAUAGUGACGUUAGUUUCUUGACCCGAUAAGCAUUUAUGCACGGGAAUUGACUGGAAACAGGAGUGCAUACUCAUCCUGAAUGAGCAGCCCAAAGUUUCCAAGAUAUUCCCACUUGAACCCCAAAAUGGUUCGAGAACACUGUCGCAACGGCACUGCGGGGAUUUU